GAUGGGGUUGAGGUUAAACUUGGAACUACUAAUAGUUUCUGUAAGGAUACUCCGGGACCGUGUGAUCCACAGGUCACUACACUUCUUGAUGUGGCUGGUGGUUUUGGAUAUCCAUUGUCUUUGGCUGAGUCUUGGAAGGGGAAUGAUGCUUGUAAUAGUUGGAGUUUUAUAAGUUGUGAUACCACUGGGAAGAAUGUAGCUGUUGUUACCUUAGGUAAGAGGGGGUUUUCAGGUACUAUUUCGCCUGCUUUUGCGAAUUUGACUUCGUUGAGGAGCUUGUUUUUGAAUGACAAUAAUCUUACUGGUACGAUCCCGGAGAGGUUGACAACUUUGCCUAAUUUACAAGUUCUUGAUGUGUCUAAUAAUAAUUUGUCUGGACCUAUACCAUUGUUUCCACCUAGAGUGAAGUUCAAUCAUAAUGGUAACUUGUUUCUUGGGACGAAUAUUACUACUGGGGAU
This 459-nucleotide unclassified non-coding RNA is filed under the name Hevea brasiliensis (rubber tree). The record is from RNAcentral. Lineage: Eukaryota; Viridiplantae; Streptophyta; Magnoliopsida; Malpighiales; Euphorbiaceae.